This 734-nucleotide ribosomal RNA is filed under the name Hypotrachyna osseoalba. RNAcentral's name for it is "partial small subunit ribosomal RNA". It matches the Rfam family "Bacterial small subunit ribosomal RNA", at positions 404 to 1118 of the family's 1533-position model. Lineage: Eukaryota; Fungi; Ascomycota; Lecanoromycetes; Lecanorales; Parmeliaceae. The record is from RNAcentral.
GAUGAUGCAAUAUUGACUAUGUUGAAUAAAAUUCUAGGUAGAAUUAUGAUAAUGACAUUGUCUGCCUAUGUGUCUUGACCAAAUUACGUGCCAGCAGUCGCGGUAAUACGUAGAAGACUAGUGUUAUUCAUGUUUAAUCGGUUUAAAGGGUACCUAGACGGCAGAUCAAGCUUUCCGAGCAGAAAAAAAGUAAAAAGGACUAAUUUGCUAGAGUUACUUACGAGGGGGUUUUAAAGUACUGCUGGUGUAGAGAUGAAAUUCUUUAAUACCUAUUUUCGAAAGAAUUAUAAUGGCACAGGUAUAGGCGAAGGCAUCCCCUUAUGUGAUAACUGACGUUGAGGGACGAAGGCUUUAUACAACGAACGGGAUUAGAUACCCCAUUAGUGGAAGCAGUAAAUGAUGAAUGUCAUAGAUUAGUAGAUAGGUUCAUUCUAUAAAUGAAAGUGUAAGCAUUCCMCCUCAUGAGUAAUAUGGCAACCUUGGAAUUGAAAUCAUUAGACCGUAUUUGAAACCAGUAGUGAAGUAUGUUGUUUAAUUUGAUGAUCCGCAAAAAACCUUACCCCAAUUUGAAUAUUUAUAUUUUUUUUUUUUGUCCUUAAUUUUAUUCUAAAGUGGAAAGAAAUUAAUAAAGAGGCAAUAAGAUAUAUUUACAAGCGUUGCACGGCUGUCUUCAGUUAAUGUCGCGAGAUUUUGGUUAGAUCCAUAAAAUUAACGUAAACCCUUACUUUAUUUUU